UGGAAUAAAAUUAGAUGAAUAAAUCUAUAUCUUCUAUAGUAAUAUAGGAAAGAAAGAUGUUGUGGAAAAUACAACACUACCCUUAUUGCAAAAGUGUACUAUCCUGGUACUAGGUAAUAUUCCUUAUUCUUUCGGCCUAUUUUAACUUUGAAGACAAAUUAUGGUUGGCUCAUACUUGUAUGACAAUGAAAGAGCUACUAUAAAGGAUGAUUAAGGUUUACACUUAGAUGAUGUUGUAAAUCAAUCAUGUUGUUCUCACGUACAGGCACUAAUCCCAGAUUUGUAUUUUGUAAUAUCCUCUUUGUUGAGAGUUAUAAUCUUAGGAAAUAACAUUAUACCACGAGGUGGUAACACAUAAAGUAACAUAGAUGAUGUUGUAAAUCAAUCAAGUUGUUCUCAUGCAUAUGCAUUGAUCUAAGAUUUGUGCAUACAUAUACAAACUCAAAGUGUUGUAAUUGGCUCACUAGUGUAAACACCCUUUAAUUUGAUUAAAUGAUUCUAGAGAGAUGUUAAACACUCGCAACUUUCAACAUAUGUGGUGGUAUUCUACUAUAUGGAAGUUGAAAGUGGAAUGACCUAAAGAGAUUGUGAAUAAUACUCAACCCUAGAUAUGAGUGAUAAUACUAAACCCUGGAUAGUGGUAUCAAUACUCAACUAAAGAUGCAUGCGUGCUGGAUCUUGAGGAAUCUAUAAGUGCUUCUACCAAUUAUCAUGAGAGGCAUGAACAUACUUAUAGUGCCUGAAGAAGAAAAGUAAAAAAUGUUGGUAUGGUGAGACAAGAUUAAAAUGACAUAGGUUUAGAGAUGCUGCGAAUAAUACAUGGUUCCUCAACAAUCUGAUGAGAAUAUCAAAGAUUGUAUGUUUUAUGGUAGGUCGGAGAGAGCUUAUCAAAAUUGGGGUAGCACUUUGGUGACAUAGUGGUUGGUGACAUUGGUGACAUUGGUCAACCACAAUGUCACAUGUGGCUUUCUUCUUUUUCUUUCACAAGAUUUUUUUGUUGUUUUGCACACUUGUAACAUUGUGGUUGAUAAUGUCACGAAUGUCACCAACCACAAUAUCACCCAAGUAUCAUCCCUUGCGUGUCCCGUCUCUAAUCUUAACAACUCAUUUAGUAACCAUUUAUUACAAUGCCUCGGUAGAACACUAGAUGAACAAUGUAACAGCCUAAUAUUUUAUAUAUAUGUCAUUUAUUAUAAUUUUCUUGAUUUAUCAUUUAAGAGGUUAAUAAUUUAUUUUGCGGAAAUAAUUUAAGGAAAAUAAUGACACCCCUCUAUUUUGAUUAGUUAAUUUGUAUGUUAUUUUAUCUAUGUUAUUUAUUCUUGAUUAAAUAAUUAUUUGAUGAAUUGUUUUCAUUGGUCUAUUUUUAUGAUUUAUUUUUAUAUUAUCAUCCAAUGAUUUAUAUUUAUUUUCAGAUAAUAUUAGUAUAGUAGUGACCUAAGUAAUUGUAGCCAUAGGGUAUGACACAGGUAUUUUAUGAUAUUUAUCAUAUAAUUUUUUAUAUAUAUAAACUAUUUGACCUUAUGAAUGUUAAUAUUUGAUGGUUCUGGUUUCAUAAUUGGUACUAUGUUCGUCGUUGUAAGUGAUGGGGACAUGAACUUGGUUGAUUUCGUAUUGGCGGACAAUUUCAUUUAAUGUCGUCUUCAAAAUCGGUUUGGUCGUGAGACAGAAUUCAGACUGUAUGGCCAGAAAUGGCGUGACGAAUUUUUUGUCUCAUGUGAUAGUAAAUAGCUGGAGAGUUGAUGGAUCUUGAUCAGAUUCUCUGUUGGCAGACGAUUCAUACGUCAACUUAAGAUUCGCCAUUCAAUUUGUUUGGUUUGGACUGUGGGGCUUGAAAGGGUUGUAUAGCCUGCUGCCAUUGUUGCAUAGAGUUGAAUGAACCGCCUUAGUGUUGACUGAGGGUUCAAUCACUGGAUCGAAAACCUUCAUUUAGUUUUAGGAUUAACUAGAGGUUGAUACACUUGUGUAUUGUUUUAAUUUUUGUAUCACCCGUUUCGGGUCGACUUACACUCUUGUGUAGUUUUAAUGGGUUAGGUUUAUGUCCCCUGGUCCUUUGUAAUUUUUCCUUUUUUUUAAUUAUAUUUAUGAGCACUUGACAAAAUAUUAGAGUUGGAUACCAACUUAGUUGGAAGCCACUCCUUUUGAUGUCAUUUUGCUUUUGCCUUAUCCACAAAAAA
Molecule: long non-coding RNA, 2174 nt
Filed under: Medicago truncatula (barrel medic)
Lineage: Eukaryota; Viridiplantae; Streptophyta; Magnoliopsida; Fabales; Fabaceae
Description: long non-coding RNA (MTRU_LNC000268)
Source: RNAcentral